AGGGCUAUAGCUCAGUUAGGUAGAGCACCUCGUUUACACGCGCGCCAAUGCUUUUUCAGGGGAGUCCAUCAUGCAAUCAAGGGAAUUGAUCUGAGAGAUCGAUGUCUUACUCCAUUGAUUCUAGGAAACGAGAGAACAAUAGCCUGACAAAUAUUAGGUUUGGUCCUAUUUUAUAGGGUUUGGGUGCCAAAUAGAACCAAUCAUUGAUUUGAUAAUUGAUAAGGUGAAUACCCAAUCCAUUCAAUGCUAGGCUUAAUGAGUAUGGGGACCUCAAAAGAACAACCUCUUUUCGUCCUAUGAACUUUGAGGUGUAUGAAGUAUCAUAUUUGACUCUUGCAGCGGAACGAUAGAGACUCCAUUGGGGUUGAUCCAGGCCAGAAGCAGACCUACGUCAAGGUAACCCUUUGAAACACUUUGGUAUUGCUCCCGGAUCAGAAGAAAAAGAAGGAAACGGAGCAUAUGGAACCAUAUCGUUAUCUUUCUGUAAAGAAAAAGAUGGUGGACUAACUGAUCUUUCCAUCAGUUGAUGAAAGAGCCCAAUGCAAAAGCAAAAAAAGUGCAUGUUGGGUUUUUGAAACAGUUCGAAUCAUUUUGAUAAUAAUCAGUUUGAUCUGUUUUACCGAGAAGGUCUACGGUUCGAGUCCGUAUAGCCCUA
This is a non-coding RNA of Amborella trichopoda, 655 nucleotides long. NCBI's taxonomy places the organism in Eukaryota, Viridiplantae, Streptophyta, Magnoliopsida, Amborellales, Amborellaceae. The record is from the annotation of a RefSeq genome assembly.